UACGGAGGUAGCAAGCGUUGUUCGGAAUGACUGGGUGUAAAGCGCAUGUAGGCGGUUUCGUAAGUUGAAUGUGAAAUCCCUUGGCUUAACCAAGGAACGGCAUUCAAUACUGCAUUACUUGAGUGCGGAAGAGGAAAGUGGAAUUUCUGGUGUAGCGGUAAAAUGCGUAGAUAUCAGAAGGAACACCGGUGGCGAAGGCGACUUUCUGGUCCGCAACUGACGCUCAGAUGCGAAAGCUAGGGGAG
RNAcentral lists this ribosomal RNA (245 nucleotides) under uncultured bacterium. Its description in RNAcentral is "partial 16S ribosomal RNA". It matches the Rfam family "Bacterial small subunit ribosomal RNA", at positions 524 to 768 of the family's 1533-position model. The record is from RNAcentral.